AAUAUUGGACAAUGGGCGCAAGCCUGAUCUAGCAACUCCGCGUGAGGGAUGAAGGCCUUCGGGUCGUAAACCUCUGUCAGAAGGGAAGAACUCCCUCGAUUCGAAUAGGUUCGAGGGCUGACGGUACCUUCAAAGGAAGCACCGGCUAACUCCGUGCCAGCAGCCGCGGUAAUACGUAGGGUGCGAGCGUUAUCCGGAAUCAUUGGGCGUAAAGAGCUCGUAGGCGGUUCAGCAAGUCGGCUGUGAAAGUCUGAGGCUCAACCUCAGAAUUGCAGUCGAUACUGCUGUGACUCGAGUCCGGUAGAGGAGAACGGAAUUCCCGGUGUAGCGGUGAAAUGCGCAGAUAUCGGGAGGAACACCAGUAGCGAAGGCGGUUCUCUGGGCCGGCACUGACGCUGAGGAGCGAAAGCGUGGGGAGCAAAC
RNAcentral lists this ribosomal RNA (423 nucleotides) under uncultured bacterium. Its description in RNAcentral is "bacterial SSU rRNA". It matches the Rfam family "Bacterial small subunit ribosomal RNA", at positions 360 to 773 of the family's 1533-position model. The record is from RNAcentral.